This 276-nucleotide ribosomal RNA is filed under the name uncultured bacterium. RNAcentral describes it as "partial 16S ribosomal RNA". It matches the Rfam family "Bacterial small subunit ribosomal RNA", at positions 30 to 302 of the family's 1533-position model. The record is from RNAcentral.
AUUGAACGCUGGCGGCAGGCCUAACACAUGCAAGUCGAGCGGUAACAGGGGAAGCUUGCUUCUCGCUGACGAGCGGCGGACGGGUGAGUAAUGUAUGGGGAUCUGCCCGAUAGAGGGGGAUAACCACUGGAAACGGUGGCUAAUACCGCAUAAUCUCUUAGGAGCAAAGCAGGGGAACUUCGGUCCUUGCGCUAUCGGAUGAACCCAUAUGGGAUUAGCUAGUAGGUGGGGUAAUGGCUCACCUAGGCGACGAUCCCUAGCUGGUCUGAGAGGAUG